GCCCCCGUGGCUCAGUGGUUGAAGAAAUUCCACGAAAGAGCGUGUCCUUGGUAAGGACAAGGUCGCGAGUUCAAUUGCUGAUGUCCAAAACAUCAUCCUGAAAAUCUCGCCGGGGGCU
RNAcentral lists this transfer RNA (118 nucleotides) under Candidatus Woesearchaeota archaeon. RNAcentral describes it as "tRNA-Thr". Lineage: Archaea; Nanobdellati; Candidatus Woesearchaeota. The record is from RNAcentral.